AAAAUAGUGUACUGCUGAUGGGCUCUACGCUUGGGCUUUUAUCUUCUUGGCCCAGUAUUGUUGAGUUGUUGUUUGUCUUGUUGUGGGCCUUAUUGUGGCCCAAAUAGUGGGCCGAGUAACAUGUGCAACUUUAUCUUUGAUCACAUAAAGAUAGAGUUGGUGUUUAGUAGCUGCUACUCCCACCACCAUUGACAUUGUUUUAUGUUUCUCCGCAUAGCCAAGUUGUGAGGUUAUCUCUUCUCGCAAGAUAAAAGGCUAAAGAAGUUUUUGCUUAUCAAUACACACUCUACGGACAGUUUACGGUGUAAGCGACAACAAACCAGUUUCAUGAGCAUCGUCUUCCCCAUAUGAAGCUAGUUCUUCUUCAUCCUCACUUCUUUCGGCAAGCUAUAAAUAAGUCUAAAGAUGUUGUACUAAUCUGUGGAGCCAUGCCGGAUAUGACGAAGUUACACCAUCACCGCCUACUUG
Molecule: long non-coding RNA, 468 nt
Organism: Arabidopsis thaliana (thale cress)
Lineage: Eukaryota; Viridiplantae; Streptophyta; Magnoliopsida; Brassicales; Brassicaceae
Product: other RNA
Exons: 1
Source: RefSeq